UCCUAUUAGACAUCACUACCACCUCUACCUCCUCUCUUUUCUGUCUCAUCUUAGCCACCAACUCCGCCACCACCACCAUCUUUAAUUCUAACAUUUAGUAGUAACCUAAUUUCAUUUGAAAGAGAGAGUUUUCGUCGGAUUAAUCGAGAGAGGAAUACAUUCUCACUGGAAAUUAGUCGAAGAAUCAACUGAGAUCGAGCAAAAACCAUUAUCAUCGGCAGUUCAUCAUUAUGGUUCAGGAGAGAUCUCAUCUUGGGAUUUGAUUCCUGUCGCAUGUGUUAAGUGGUACUAAUCUUGUUGAAUGGUGGAGUAGAAUUAGAGUCGCAUGCGCUGUUGGUGGUGCAAUUGGCAUUAGUGGUGACAGAGGAGUUGGAGGUGAUGCUGGUGUGAUAGGAGGAUUAGAUUUGGAGCAUUAGAUGCUUCUGUGCUGGUGGUGGAAUUGGUGCACUUGGUACUGGUGAACGAGACGUGGUGGCGGUGGAAUCGAAUUGUUUGUAUCUAAGUUGGUGGAUGCAAAAUUUUGAUUAGUUUAUUUUUUGUAAUUCAGCUUCUCAGAUUGGGUAUUGUGAAAAUUAAUUUGAUCUCGGUGGUACCAAAUUUCUGUUGAAUUUGUUAUGUGUAUCCAAUUGUUGAAUUGCACUUCUUAAACUAGUACUAGUACUAUCUGUAUUAAUGAAUUUUGAUCGCUUAUCUCAGAUGAGAAAGCAGAUAUUGAGCUUGAUGGCGGAAAAUGGAGGCUGGAAUUUUUAACAAGCAGGUGUAUUAAUGAAUUUUGAUCGCUUAUCUCAGAUGAGAAAGCAGAUAUUGAGCUUGAUGGCGGAAAAUGGAGGCUGGAAUUUUUAACAAGCAGGAUGCACCAUUGUAAUGCAUUGCACGAAGGAAAAAGCUUGAUCCUAGUUUUGAAGCAUGUGUACCAGCUGUAAUCUUGAGCAAAUCACAGUUCUGUCUGUGACUUACGUAAUUGUUUCUAUUCUUGUUUGCAAGGGUCAAAGGAAGGAUGGGAUUGCUUGUACCGCAGGCAUAGAUAAGAAUGGUCUCCGGGAGCUAGGGAUACAAAUAUUGGGCUCACACACUGUUAUUCCAUUGGAUCACCAGAUCCGUAGGUCAGUAUGGCAUCUGAUUUAUGAAGACAUUGAAGUAGUUACAUUAGACAAACAUGUGGUGUAAUGGUAGCACAACUGACUCCACGUCAGAAGAUGCGUGUUCGAUUCACGUCAGGUUCACUAAUUUUAGGACAUCAAUUUUUGGGGUCAACUUUGGUUGUUGACACGAGAUUUUGGGGUCAACUUUGGUGACACGAGAUAUUGGGGGCAACUUUGGUUGUUGACACCAUAUUUUUGGGAUCAACUUUGGUUGUUGACACCAUGUUAAUUUAUUUUCUGAAUUUUGUUUUUGAGAUCAACUUUGGCUGUUGAUACCAUAUUAAAUUUUUUUAUAUUUUAUUCUCUGAUUCUUGUUUUGGAAUCAA
Molecule: long non-coding RNA, 1468 nt
Organism: Papaver somniferum (opium poppy)
Lineage: Eukaryota; Viridiplantae; Streptophyta; Magnoliopsida; Ranunculales; Papaveraceae
Exons: 5
Source: RefSeq, a predicted model, not a curated record